UGGAUUGGUAAUGAGUUUAAUUUAGGAGCCUUACCAUGUGCCUUUGGAGGGCAAGUCUGGUGCCAGCA
Molecule: ribosomal RNA, 68 nt
Filed under: uncultured Glomus
Lineage: Eukaryota; Fungi; Glomeromycota; Glomeromycetes; Glomerales; Glomeraceae
Description: partial 16S ribosomal RNA
Source: RNAcentral